RNAcentral lists this ribosomal RNA (298 nucleotides) under uncultured bacterium. Its description in RNAcentral is "partial 16S ribosomal RNA". It matches the Rfam family "Bacterial small subunit ribosomal RNA", at positions 334 to 633 of the family's 1533-position model. The record is from RNAcentral.
UGUUCCUACGGGGGGCAGCAGUGGGGAAUAUUGCACAAUGGGGGGAACCCUGAUGCAGCGACGCCGCGUGGGUGAAGGAGCACCUCGGUGCGUAAAGCCCUAUCGGCAGGGAAGAAAAGCGAACAGGUUCGCCUGGACGGUACCUGACUAAGAAGCCCCGGCUAACUACGUGCCAGCAGCCGCGGUAAUACGUAGGGGGCAAGCGUUAUCCGGAUUUACUGGGUGUAAAGGGAGCGUAGGCGGCAGUGCAAGUCAGAAGUGAAAGCCCAAGGCUCAACCAUGGGACUGCUUUUGAAAC